This 253-nucleotide ribosomal RNA is filed under the name uncultured bacterium. Its description in RNAcentral is "partial 16S ribosomal RNA". It matches the Rfam family "Bacterial small subunit ribosomal RNA", at positions 524 to 776 of the family's 1533-position model. The record is from RNAcentral.
UACGAAGGGGGCUAGCGUUGUUCGGAAUCCCUGGGCGUAAAGGGCGCGUAGGCGGCUUUUCAAGUCGGGGGUGAAAGCCUGUGGCUCAACCACAGAAUUGCCUUCGAUACUGUUAGGCUUGAGACCGGAAGAGGUGAGUGGAACUGCGAGUGUAGAGGUGAAAUUCGUAGAUAUUCGCAAGAACACCAGUGGCGAAGGCGGCUCACUGGUCCGGUUCUGACGCUGAGGCGCGAAAGCGUGGGGAGCAAACAGG